AACGAACGCUGGCGGCAUGCCUAACACAUGCAAGUCGAACGAUGCCUUCGGGCAUAGUGGCGCACGGGUGCGUAACGCGUGGGAAUCUGCCUUUCGGUUCGGAAUAACUCAGGGAAACUUGAGCUAAUACCGGAUAACGUCGCAAGACCAAAGAUUUAUCACCGAAAGAUGAGCCCGCGUAGGAUUAGCUAGUUGGUGAGGUAAAGGCUCACCAAGGCGACGAUCCUUAGCUGGUCUGAGAGGAUGAUCAGCCACACUGGGACUGAGACACGGCCCAGACUCCUACGGGAGGCAGCAGUGGGGAAUAUUGGACAAUGGGCGAAAGCCUGAUCCGGCAAUGCCGCGUGAGUGAUGAAGGCCUUAGGGUUGUAAAGCUCUUUUACCCAGGAAGAUAAUGACGGUACCGGGAGAAUAAGCCCCGGCUAACUCCGUG
This 433-nucleotide ribosomal RNA is filed under the name uncultured bacterium. RNAcentral describes it as "partial 16S ribosomal RNA". It matches the Rfam family "Bacterial small subunit ribosomal RNA", at positions 29 to 507 of the family's 1533-position model. The record is from RNAcentral.